This 468-nucleotide ribosomal RNA is filed under the name uncultured bacterium. RNAcentral's name for it is "partial 16S ribosomal RNA". It matches the Rfam family "Bacterial small subunit ribosomal RNA", at positions 28 to 507 of the family's 1533-position model. The record is from RNAcentral.
GACGAACGCUGGCGGCGUGCUUAACACAUGCAAGUCGAACGGAAAGGCCCUGCUUUUGUGGGGUGCUCGAGUGGCGAACGGGUGAGUAACACGUGAGUAACCUGCCCUUGACUUUGGGAUAACUUCAGGAAACUGGGGCUAAUACCGGAUAGGAGCUCCUGCUGCAUGGUGGGGGGUGGAAAGUUUUGGCGGUUGGGGAUGGACUCGCGGCUUAUCAGCUUGUUGGUGGGGUAGUGGCUUACCAAGGCUUUGACGGGUAGCCGGCCUGAGAGGGUGACCGGCCACAUUGGGACUGAGAUACGGCCCAGACUCCUACGGGAGGCAGCAGUGGGGAAUAUUGCACAAUGGGCGGAAGCCUGAUGCAGCAACGCCGCGUGCGGGAUGACGGCCUUCGGGUUGUAAACCGCUUUCGCCUGUGACGAAGCGUGAGUGACGGUAAUGGGUAAAGAAGCACCGGCUAACUACGUG